Molecule: ribosomal RNA, 430 nt
Filed under: Pseudomonadota bacterium
Lineage: Bacteria; Pseudomonadati; Pseudomonadota
Description: Proteobacteria bacterium partial 16S ribosomal RNA
Rfam family: Bacterial small subunit ribosomal RNA
Source: RNAcentral
UGGGGAAUAUUGGACAAUGGGGGGAACCCUGAUCCAGCCAUGCCGCGUGUGUGAAGAAGGCCUUAUGGUUGUAAAGCACUUUAAGCGAGGAGGAGGCUCUUUUGGUUAAUACCCAAGAUGAGUGGACGUUACUCGCAGAAUAAGCACCGGCUAACUCUGUGCCAGCAGCCGCGGUAAUACAGAGGGUGCGAGCGUUAAUCGGAUUUACUGGGCGUAAAGCGUGCGUAGGCGGCUAAUUGAGUCGGAUGUGAAAUCCCCGAGCUUAACUUGGGAAUUGCAUUCGAUACUGGUUAGCUAGAGUGUGGGAGAGGAUGGUAGAAUUCCAGGUGUAGCGGUGAAAUGCGUAGAGAUCUGGAGGAAUACCGAUGGCGAAGGCAGCCAUCUGGCCUAACACUGACGCUGAGGUACGAAAGCAUGGGGAGCAAACAGG